Molecule: long non-coding RNA, 265 nt
Filed under: Pelobates cultripes (western spadefoot toad)
Lineage: Eukaryota; Metazoa; Chordata; Amphibia; Anura; Pelobatidae
Source: RNAcentral
GCAAUAACCUCAGUGCAUAAUAUGUUUGCGCCAUUUUGUCCCAGACGAAUUACAAUAACAGAAAUGCAUAAACAAGCUUCAAGGCUAUACUACGACUCUUUCAGUACACAAUAUACUGUGGUAACCCCAAGUUAAUGGAACUUCCCCAAAUCCGGGAAUCUCCCACGACUGUGCACUUACGACUUAGUAUAAACAACAGAUAAGCUAUUCAGACUUUAAGAUGCCAUCUUGAACUAAGUCAGGAAAAUUUCCAUGACGUAUGCAC